CGUCCUCCAUGAAUCCUGCACGGACUUUCCGUCGCUGCUUCGUUGUUUCCCUGAUAGCAAGUAACUGCCCCUCCUCUUGGAAUUCCUCUGCAGAUCCCUGACCGCGCAAUCGACGCGACCCUGACGAAUCCGCUCCAGGGGACCUGGAACUUUCCUGUCUCAUCCUUGCCAAUGUUGGUGGUCUUCAGAUGUAACUGUCGUCUUGUACCACAAGCAUCUCCAUAUCAGUCUUGGUGGCCAACGCUCGGUUUCGGAUUUAUUGGAUUCAGGUCUGAGAGUGCAUUAGACCGCUCGCCUGCCUGGAACUUCAACUGGGUUUCCGCCGUGGUGCACUUGAACUGUCUUUGUGUGGCGAGGGUGUUGUGUUCCGUUUGCGAAUAUUUUGAACGCUUUGAAGAGAGGACCGUGUUGUGAGUAAGGGAUCGAACAUCGCUUCCUUAGGAUUUGUGAGUGAGAGUGCUGUGUGGAGAUUCAUUGGGAAAGAUGUGUUACGGUGGAGUUGCGGGGAGCAGUGCGCAUCAACAAGUGCAGCUGCAGAGUCAUGGAGAGCAAGGGACAAGUGCAUGGCAGGAGUCGCAAUUGAAGAAGGCGUUCCAUCUGAUGGACCGCGACGGAGACGGGACUAUUAAGUCCGAGGAUUUAUCUCAUUUUUUGCAGUAUUCGCUCAAGAGUAGUCUGAGUGCUGAGGAGAUAGAUCUGAUGAUAUCGUUGGCAGACAGGGACGGUAAUGGUGCCGUGGACUUUGAGGAGUUUCUGUCACUCGUGAAGGUACACAUUCCUCAGAGGGUGGAGAGCUUGUCGUCGCUCGGUCAGGAUGCCUUGGAGCAGAUGUUUCGCGUGCUGGACCGCAACGGCGAUGGAGUACUGUGUUCGGAUGAUUUAAGCGGCGUGAUGGGGAGUUUGGGGCAGAUUUUAUCGUCAGAGGAUCUUCUGGCUAUGGUUGAGACUGCCACCGGAUCGAAUCGGCGGAAGGUUACCUUUGAGAACUUCUGUCAACUAAUGAGCACCGAUGCUUCAUGUUGAGACAUCGGCGUCUAGGUUUCGUAACCCUAGACUUAGAUUCUGGCGUACCUUAGCUCGUAUGGGCAGUAAUGUGUGUCGUUCAGUAUGAGAAGACCAGCAGGUUGACGAAGAGUGUGUUUUGCGUCGUUUCAUACCUCCAGCGAUUCAACAAUAGAUCAUAUCAGAGUUUAGCAGAUGAUACCAUCACAUUCGAUAUCAGUGAGGCACCUUUCAUAGGUAUCCACCCUGGCGCACGAGCUUAGGACAAUGACGACAAGGGAAACAUUUUAGAGUAUGUACACAUCACAAUUUUUUUCCUAUUAAAUCAAUAAAUUACUUCCAACAUCUUAUUAGGCGAAA
Molecule: non-coding RNA, 1362 nt
Organism: Physcomitrium patens
Lineage: Eukaryota; Viridiplantae; Streptophyta; Bryopsida; Funariales; Funariaceae
Source: RefSeq, a predicted model, not a curated record